UAGUAUUAAUAGUUAUGAUCUUUAAAUUAAAAGAAUUUGGCGGUAAUCUAGUCUGUUCAGAGGAAUCUGCCCUGUAAUUGAUAUUCCACGAUGAAUUUUACUUUACCUAUGCUUGUAUAUCUCUGUCAUUGAAUGUCCUAUUAGGGUAUUUUCUCUAAUCUUUAAUGUGUAAGAUGUCAGGUCAAGGUGCAGCGAUGGUGAAGAAGAGGUGGAUUACAUUAAAUUUAUUUAUGGAUAGUGAAUAUGGAAAUUUUCUUGAAAUUGGAUUUGAAAGUAAUUUCUAU
Molecule: ribosomal RNA, 284 nt
Filed under: Triatoma infestans
Lineage: Eukaryota; Metazoa; Arthropoda; Insecta; Hemiptera; Reduviidae
Description: partial 12S ribosomal RNA
Source: RNAcentral